This is a long non-coding RNA of Coffea eugenioides, 688 nucleotides long. RefSeq lists it as uncharacterized. The record is from RefSeq and is a predicted model, not a curated record. The transcript has 2 exons. NCBI's taxonomy places the organism in Eukaryota, Viridiplantae, Streptophyta, Magnoliopsida, Gentianales, Rubiaceae.
CACGUUUUAGGUCCCAAAAUCUGAGGAGAAGCUUAUAUUGCAAUCAACAACUUUGAGGCACAGACCUUCAGUCAACUUGCAUAUGAUAUAGAAAGUUAGAAAGAAGAUCAAAGAUGGAAGGGUUCUUAAGAGAAUGACAAAAACUGGUGAAUCCUGCACGCACCUGAAGAAGGGAGUGGAAUGUAAAGCCUUUUAGCAAGUCUCCUUCUUGCAGCUUCAUCAAGUUCUUGGGGUCUGUUUGUUGCUCCUGUUUAAGUAACAGAAUCACCUCUGUUACUUCUCAUAAAACAAGGAAACAAGACACAAUAUUGCCCUCGAAGAAGAAAAGCAAUUGCACUUUUACACAAGCCUGAAGUCCGCCGACUACCAUGAAAUCAAGCAAUCAUGUGUAGCUUCAAUUACAAUGGUUGCAGAGUUGAAAAAGGUAACAUAUGUCAAUAGUCUACAUACUUGAAUAUGCAUAUUUUACCAUCUGUUUGCUUCUUAGUGGUGGUUUGCGCUACCUAAAAUCUUGUUUUGGGAGUUAAACAUUACCUACAAGCAGAAUUUGUUCACUUCCAGUAUCAAAGCCUUCCAUUUCAAUCAGGAAUUGCGUCUUGAGUCUCCUACUUGAUUCAUGUUCACCUUCAGACUUACGCUGAAAAGAUAUACAAGUUCUUAGCAGAGAGAAUACUAGAGUUGAAAGAGA